RNAcentral lists this ribosomal RNA (484 nucleotides) under uncultured bacterium. Its description in RNAcentral is "partial 16S ribosomal RNA". It matches the Rfam family "Bacterial small subunit ribosomal RNA", at positions 28 to 507 of the family's 1533-position model. The record is from RNAcentral.
AUUGAACGCUGGCGGCAUGCUUUACACAUGCAAGUCGAACGGCAGCGCGGGCUUCGGCCUGGCGGCGAGUGGCGAACGGGUGAGUAAUGCAUCGGAACGUGCCCAGUAGUGGGGGAUAGCCCGGCGAAAGCCGGAUUAAUACCGCAUACGACCUGAGGGUGAAAGCGGGGGACCGAAAGGCCUCGCGCUAUUGGAGCGGCCGAUGUCGGAUUAGCUAGUUGGUGGGGUAAAGGCUUACCAAGGCGACGAUCCGUAGCUGGUCUGAGAGGACGACCAGCCACACUGGGACUGAGACACGGCCCAGACUCCUACGGGAGGGCGCAGUGGGGAAUUUUGGACAAUGGGGGCAAACCUGAUCCAGCCAUGCCGCGUGCGGGAAGAAGGCCUUCGGGUUGUAAACCGCUUUUGUUCGGGAAGAAAUCCUCUGGGCUAAUACCCCGGGGGGAUGACGGUACCGGAAGAAUAAGCACCGGCUAACUACGUG